Dermacentor silvarum is the source of this 469-nucleotide long non-coding RNA. RefSeq lists it as uncharacterized. The record is from RefSeq and is a predicted model, not a curated record. The transcript has 3 exons. NCBI's taxonomy places the organism in Eukaryota, Metazoa, Arthropoda, Arachnida, Ixodida, Ixodidae.
GACUCCACUCAGCACGUCCGUUCCCUUCGACUUCACUCAAGCGCGCGCGAAAACAUCGCCACCUAGAGUAGGUGGCGAUGAGCGAGGGGGAGGAAGGAGAAACGAGGCGAAGCGUCGCGCAGGAGGAAGGCAGGCUGUGCACACGUAAGAAGGCGGCUACGAGAAAACAGCUGAUCAGUGCGAUGGCCUGCAUUUCGUGUACCUUUGUCCGUAACGCUGGUCGACUAAAUGAGAUGUCGGCUUCCGAGGUCCACUUUCGGCCGAGAAGAAUUUUGGAAGCAGUGAACAUCAUGGAAACCGGGAGAGCGUAGUGCAAGGAAAUGGAAGAAUCGAAGAAGAGUGGAAGGCAGUACAUCUCAACAGACAGCUGGUAAGCAAAUCUUUUGGUGAACUAUCAUAACUUUCUCCGAACGUAGGGAAAGUGCGCAAUAAUAAAUUUCCCCUGCGCGUCGUACAAAUAUUUGUGCUG